UUGACGAAAAUGCCCUCAACUAAACAUCUUCUUCUGUUCCCUUUUUGCCCCUUCCCCUCCGCUGCGAACGUUUCGUUCGCUCAGAGAAUGCGUCCAUUUUCAGUCCAUUUCGAACCAGCUGGUUUGGGGGCAGCCAUGGAAGAUCUGCCUUCAUUGUUAGACAUGCGUGGGGGGCCGUCGAUUUUCGUUUGGGAGGUGCGCUGCAAAUCCAGCCGCACUUUAGUCUUCGUCUCACAGAUUUGUGGUCGGGAGAUUUCUCGUCGUUUCUACAGCCUUCGACUCAGACGUCUUCCAUCUUUCUUGCUUGCGAGUUUUUGCAUCCUUUGUCUUCAGGAAGGGGAUUGAAUCUCACAGAUUAGCUCAGGUGCUCUUUUGUUGCUUUGGAUAGAGCAGUUUGGUUGGUGUUUUCAGUUAUGUUAAGCAGGAGGUGCUGUAUAUGUAACACCCCGACCCUCAUUUUUAUAUCCAAUUAAUUAUUUAAUUAAUUAGAUUAAGAAAUUACAAUUUUACCCUUGGGGAUAGGGGUAUUUUGGUCACUUUUUAAUCCGGAAGGUUUUUGGGAAAAUGAGUGGUACCGUUGCGUAGAGCUCGUCUAUACGAGUUCGUAGACAUGUGGCAUGCCCAAUUCCGACUUGUAACGAAGGAGAAAAAGUUUGAAAACAAAAGGGACGUAUAUGGAAUUUUUUUUAAAUUGUACUGUAGCAACAGUACCGUGCUACAGUACCGGGCAGUUUUAUUCUUUUUCUUUUUCUUUUUUUCUUCUUCUUCUUCUUCUUCCUCUCUCCCUUCGCGCAGAAGACAAACCCCCCCUGUUACUGUUCACCGCCGGGGUUUUUGGGCCACCACCGUCGCAUCCGGCCACCACUUGGGGUGACACCAGUCCCAAAAGAACCGGGCCACCUCCCUCUUUCCAUCUUGACCGAUCUCAGCCGCUGGAACCACCUGUGAUCGCCGGAAAAUGCAAAAAUCCGAUCGGUUUUAACCCAAAAUUCACGGAGCUCGUUUGGGUGAUUCCGGGCACCAAAACUUGCGAUCUUGGCCCGUCGGAGUUUGUCCAAGCCCUUCGGAGAUUUAUUUUGCCCAGGCUCGUCGGAGUUUGUCUAGGCCAUUCGGAGAUUUAUUUUGCCCAGGCCCGUUGGAGUUUGUCUAGGCCAUUCGGAGAUUUAUUUUGGAGAUUUAUUUUGCCUAGGCCCGUCUGAGUUUGUCCAAGCUCUUGGGAGAUUUAUUUUGCCCAGGCCCGUCGGAGUUUGUCCAGGCCCAGGCCCACUCUUAACCCAACCUCCAUCUUUAAAGUUGACAGGACCCGCCCCGAACUCCUCGAAACCUAAGACGAAUCCUAUGGAAAUCCCGACAUCACCCCGAUGUCAAGCCCACUCACUGAAACUAUAUCCUCUUUUCCCAAAAAGGAAUAAGGGCACGAGACUUUCCACCGAAAAUUCGGCAGUCUCCCCUGUAAAUUGAACAUUCCCCAAAUUUCAACCUGCACAAAAUUCACAUUUUAAUGUCCCAACAGGCAGCACGCACAA
Molecule: non-coding RNA, 1526 nt
Organism: Prunus avium (sweet cherry)
Lineage: Eukaryota; Viridiplantae; Streptophyta; Magnoliopsida; Rosales; Rosaceae
Source: RefSeq, a predicted model, not a curated record